RNAcentral lists this transfer RNA (76 nucleotides) under Alphaproteobacteria bacterium. RNAcentral's name for it is "tRNA-Lys". It matches the Rfam family "tRNA". From Rfam's summary of the family: Transfer RNA (tRNA) molecules are approximately 80 nucleotides in length. The record is from RNAcentral. RNAcentral also lists the same sequence under 2 other names. Lineage: Bacteria; Pseudomonadati; Pseudomonadota; Alphaproteobacteria.
GGGCGGUUAGCUCAGUUGGUAGAGCAAGUGACUUUUAAUCACUGGGUCAUAGGUUCGAAUCCUAUACCGCUCACCA